Molecule: ribosomal RNA, 425 nt
Filed under: uncultured bacterium
Lineage: Bacteria
Description: bacterial SSU rRNA
Rfam family: Bacterial small subunit ribosomal RNA
Source: RNAcentral
UCGAGAAUAAUUCACAAUGGGGGAAACCCUGAUGGUGCAACGCCGCGUGGAGGAUGAAGGUCUUCGGAUUGUAAACUCCUGUCAUCUGGGAGUAAGACCUGGGCGUGAAUAGCGCACAGGGUUGAUAGUACCAGACGAGGAAGGGACGGCUAACUUCGUGCCAGCAGCCGCGGUAAUACGAAGGUCCCAAGCGUUGUUCGGAAUUACUGGGCGUAAAGCGCACGUAGGCGGCCUUUCGAGUCAGGCGUGAAAGCCCCGGGCUUAACCCGGGAAUUGCGUUUGAUACUGUUGGGCUUGAGACCGGGAGAGGAUAGCGGAAUUCCCAGUGUAGAGGUGAAAUUCGUAGAUAUUGGGAAGAACACCAGUGGCGAAGGCGGCUAUCUGGACCGGUACUGACGCUGAGGUGCGAAAGCGUGGGGAGCAAA